Molecule: ribosomal RNA, 429 nt
Filed under: Pseudomonadota bacterium
Lineage: Bacteria; Pseudomonadati; Pseudomonadota
Description: Proteobacteria bacterium partial 16S ribosomal RNA
Rfam family: Bacterial small subunit ribosomal RNA
Source: RNAcentral
UGGGGAAUAUUGGACAAUGGGCGAAAGCCUGAUCCAGCCAUGCGGCGUGUGUGAAGAAGGUCUUCGGAUCGUAAAGCACUGUAAGGUGGGAGGAAGGGCAGUAAGCGAAUACCUUGCGGGCGUGACGUCACCGACAGAAUAAGCACCGGCUAACUCCGGGCCAGCAGCCGCGGAAAGACAGAGGGUGCAAGCGGUAACCGGAAUUACUGGGCGUAAAGCGCGCGUAGGUGGUUCGUUAAGUGGAAUGUGAAAGCCCCGGGCUCCACCUGAGAGCUGCAUCCCAAACUGGCGAGCUAGUGUAGGGCCGAGGGUGGUGGAAUUUCCUGUGUAGCGGUGAAAUGCGUAGAUAUAGGAAGGAACACCAGUGGCGGAGGCGACCACCUGGGCUCAUACUGACACUGAGGUGCGAAAGCGUGGGGAGCAAACAAG